This 783-nucleotide small RNA is filed under the name Pan troglodytes (chimpanzee). RNAcentral's name for it is "retained intron". The record is from RNAcentral. Lineage: Eukaryota; Metazoa; Chordata; Mammalia; Primates; Hominidae.
CCAGAUGGCCGGGUGGAGGGGUGCCCGGGGCUUCCACUCCUGAACAGAGGGCUUAGACUGUCCUAGAGUUCAUGGGGAGCCACCUAGCCACACUGGAGCCCUUCAGAGCUCACCCUGGCUGCUGGGUGGAGAAAGGCCUAUAGAUGUCACAGGGAUCCUGAAACUCCGCCACAUCUGGAACCUGAAGUUGAUGCGUUGGACCCCUGCAGCUGCAGACAUCUGCUUCACCAAGGAGCUACACUCCCACUUCUUCAGCUUGGGCAAGUGUGUGCCUGUGUGCCGAGGAGCAGAAUUUUUCCAAGCAGAGAAUGAGGGGAAAGGUGUUCUAGACACAGGCAGGCACAUGCCAGGUGCUGGAAAAAGAAGAGAGAAAGGAGAUGGCGUCUACCAGAAGGGGAUGGACUUCAUUUUGGAGAAGCUCAACCAUGGGGACUGGGUGCAUAUCUUCCCAGAAGGUCAGCAGGGCUGACUGGGUCGAGCCCCCCCAGUAUGAGCGGGAUGGGCUCCCAAGCUUCGCCUCUGUGCUCUCUCACCAGGGAAAGUGAACAUGAGUUCCGAAUUCCUGCGUUUCAAGUGGGGUAAGGGCUGCUGGUCUCUGGCCACAGCCAUCCUCCCGGCCCAGAGAUGGCCCUGUGGGCCCCUGGCUCCCGCCCCCUCGGGCUGGGUUGUAUGGGGGUAGAUGGGCGUGUUGUAGCGCCAGGAAGGGGACAGGUGCUGAGACUAGGCCUGCCUCUCGCAGGGGCUUGCCCAAGGGAGCUGAAUUGAACUGGAGGAUGUCGGGGG